RNAcentral lists this long non-coding RNA (6573 nucleotides) under Oryza sativa (Asian cultivated rice). Its description in RNAcentral is "long non-coding RNA (OSAT_LNC001658)". The record is from RNAcentral. Lineage: Eukaryota; Viridiplantae; Streptophyta; Magnoliopsida; Poales; Poaceae.
UGCCGUGUGUUUCCGCGGCGGCAAAUGGGGGGAUUGGGGCCUGUGGGAAAUCCGGCGGAGGCGGCGGUGCCGCACCGGGCAGCCGAGGUAGGGACGGGGCCUGUGGCGGUGGCCGCACCGGGCGGCGGCUCCUGCCUGCGCGACGACCUAAGGUGCGUAUUACACUCGUGCCGUCGGGCACUUGCCGCAUUCAUCCGCUCGUUCGUCUCUUUUCCUAGAUAUUCGGCGUCGAGAUCGCCAUUGCCGUUGUUGUGCGAGGUUUGUACUGUUGGUCGAGUCUAGUUUGUUUGUUGAUAGAUAGAGUAACCAAGCAACCAACCAUCCAACUGGAGGGCCGAAGGAUUUGUGAACAGAAAGCAAAGAAAACUUAAUUUGACUGUGUUUUCUAUUUGUGAAGUAUAGGGGAUUUAUAUAGCAAUGCAAGAGUGUUUCCCCUUUUUAUUUGAAAAAGAAAACGAGACAUACAAGUUACUCUUCUGAGUACUUUGCUACUGAAGGCGCCACUCCUGGACUUAUAUUGGUCUAGUGUAGUGUCCCAAAUAGCUUCACAAAAAUGUUUAAAUCCAAUCUACACACAUCCACUCUCAAGUCCCCAGAUGGCUUCACGAAAAUGUUUAAAUCCAAUAUACACACAUCCAUUCUUAAGUCACAACGACAUGGAGCAAGCAAAUGAUCAAACCAUCUCCCAGCAUAUGUAACAAAUAGCAAUUUCCUUUCACCGCCCAGAAAUGUGGCUUAUUUCUGAUACCCCACCGGUAUAUCCAGACUGAAAGGAGCUGCCCUCGUAGCUUGUUGUUGAAGCUCCAGAAAUCAUCAACUGGAACUGUCUUGGAAUCUCUGCAUCCAUGACGUUCUUCUUUCGAGGGGUUGAAGUUGCCGAUUGUCUCUCGCUUGAAAUCGGCAAGCACACCUUAAGCACGGAAACAACCUCGGUCAUGCUUGGCCUGUCAAUCGAUGCGUUUUCGAGGCAGUUCAUGGCGAGGUCUAUCACAGUCUGCAGGUGCGUGGCAUCAUACUGAUCCAACAGCUUCUUGUCCACAACAUCGUGAACGCUCCCAUUAGCAAUCUUUUGUCGCACCCAAUUUGGCAGGUGGACGGUUUGAGGGUCCAUGAAUACCGGGGGUUGACCAGUCACAAUCUCCAAGAGGACGAUUCCAAAACUGUAAACGUCUGUCUUAACAGUAAGCUGGAAAGUGGCAUGGUACUCAGGGUCAAGGUAACCAAGAGUGCCAGCAGCAACAGUAGAUAUAUGCGUGUGAGCAGCAUUAAAAGCCCGUGAAAGCCCAAAAUCAGAUAUCUUGGCCACCAGAUUCUUGUCCAGAAGGAUGUUGGGUGUCUUCACAUCUCUGUGAACUAUUGAUGGGGUGCAUGAUUCAUGAAGGUAUUCCAGACCUACAGUUUGUUGAAGCUCAUGGUUUAAACACAAUACACACACAAACAUAUGCACUAUAAAAGAAAGUUCAUGUGUAUUUCAAAAUAUUGACCUUGUGCAGCAUCAAGUGCAAUGUGAAGUCGCUCUUCCCAAUUCAAACUGUCAUAUCCUGCAUCAAAGUGUGCUACAUUAAUGGCAUUAUAGAAAUCCAUUCGAUAUGUGCAUGGUAGUGCAAAUACCACUUUAUUUCAUUUGGAAAAAAAUGAAGUUAUGAACGGACGAGUAUAUAUUGAAAAAGAAUCAUUGAACAGUUGGUGUACUAAAACUGCAAUUCAAUAUUUUUAUGCUAUAUAAUUAUAGCAGACACUGAAUUUUAAAACAGCGUUAGCUUGUCUUCUCCUUGAUAGAGCACAUUUUAUAAAUUUCAAUUAACAAGAAUACCAAUCUAUUGAGGGGAAAUUGAUCAUUUACAAAUGUACAUUUGAAUAUGUAUGUAACUCUUGUUCUUGUUUUAUUCCUCACUGGCAUUGAGCUAAGUACCUUUGAAUAAUGUUUAUAAUUUCUGAUAACUAUAACUUGGAGAAAAUGUAGCUUUAUGAAUGCAAUGAUUACAUUUGCCCUUUUUAUUAGUCCAUUGUCCAUAUAUAGUAUUGGUUGGUACCUAUAAUUGUGUUAACCAUACCUUUACAUUCUAUACUCACAUGCAUGCCGUGCAUAAUUUUGUCGAAAUAUCAAAACUAGGUGGGUGGUCCGCUAGCACCCGCAAAAAUGUCUAUUUUUACACAUGAUUACUUAAAAUUUGUUAAAUAGCCAUCUCGUUGUCUUAGGACUAUCAAAGAUCGAACCUUAUCAUCCUUGGGUUUCUACUUUUAUAGUUUUUAAAAGUCAAACCUGUUGCUACCUUUACUCCUUUGUCAACCCUUUUAUUUGCUUGCCCGAUCUACAUGGAUUCUAUUCAUCCUCCUUAAAACCUUUUAAAAUUGGACUUUUUAGUUUCUAAAAUUUAUUUCGUUUUUAUAAUUUUUAGAAGUCUCGUCAAACGCCACCAAUGCACUCUCUACGGCCUACCCGCUGCCUCCCCUUUUCAUUGUCAUUGGGAUUUUAAAAAUAAAAAAUAAUAUUGUUGGGGGUUCAUUUUUUUACUUUUUAGAAGUCACGCCCACUGCCCUGACUAUGCUGCUUAACAGCCUUCCCGUUAUCCCUCCUCUUAAUCGCUAUUGGGAUUCUAAAAUCGAAUCUAACCAUCUUUGGGGUUUCGUUUAUAGUUUUAGAUGUCCCAUCAACCACCACCAUCAUAUUUCUUACGGGCUUGAUGCUCCUUCGCUCUUUAUUGUCAUUUGCUACAAUUGUGUUCUAGAUGGAGUGAUUGACACUGUUCUUUCAAAAUUCAAUAUUUUUCAUAAAAUUUUCUGCUAUUUAUAAAUUUUAUUCAAACUUGAACUCUUAUUUUUAUUAUUCUAAUUUUCAUAAUUUAUUCUAUUUUUUAUUCCGAAUUUAGUUAGCAUCGUAUUGUAUUCUAUCUGUAGUGUCUUCCAAUAAUCAUUUUUAUUUAGAAAUUUAGUUAUUUCAAAAUUGUAUUCCUACUUGAACUCUCUUUUUUAUUUUUAUAAUUUUAGACAUUAUUCUUUUAUUUUAAAUUUUAAUUAAUAUCGUAUUGGGUUCUCUUUUUCCAAUAUUGCUUAUUUUAAUUCCGAAUUUUAUUUAUUUUUAAAUUGUAUUUCUUCUGAAACUCUCUUUUUUUCCUUUUUAUAAUAUCUGAAUUUAUUUUAGUUUUUAUUCUAAAUUUUAAUUAAUCUCCUAUUGGAUUUUAUAUGGACUGUUAUUCCAAUAUUCCUUAUUUUAAAUUGCGAAUUUCGGUUAUUUUUAAAUUGUAUUUCUACUUGAACUCUCUUGUUCUAAUUUUGGAAUUUAUUUUAUUUUUUAUUCCGAAUUUCAAUUUAACUCAUGUUGUAUUCUAGAUGGAUUAAUUGUUGUUUCGAUAUUUCUUCUUUUAUUUCAAAUUGUAUUCCUACUUGAACUUCUUUUUUCUUUUUUUAAUUUCAGAAUUUAUUUUAUUUUUUAUUACGAAUUUUAAUAAAUCUCGUAUUGGGUUCUUAUAUGCACUCUUUUUCCAAUAUUGAUUAUGUUUAUUUUCUAAUUUCAGUUAUUUCUAAAUUGUAUUCCUACGUGGACUCUCUUUUUCUUUUUUUUUCCUCCGAUUAAUGUGGGAAUUUCUAGCCUCCAUAGCUAUUGUGGUACUUCCUUUCAAAUUUUUUUUAACAAUAUAAUAGAUAUGUCCUCUUACAUGCUACGAUAGAAAAAUCUUGUUUAUUUAUUCUUUAUAUUUACGACCAUACAGGUUCAAGAAUUAGCUGUGAUUAACCGGUUGCAUAUGACAUGAGGUUCAAGUUGACACUCCGACAAUGGACAUCAAACCCUAACUAGUUUUAUCCUAAAGUUUCUCUCUUCUCCCUAGUGCCGAAUCACCUUUAGCUUGUUAUUCCUAAUUAAAGGGUUAUGAGCUAGACAUGUUUACUAUAUUUUUACUAAUGAGAAUUUUUAAAGUACACUGUUCCCAAUAAUUAGUGAAAACUGUUGAUGCCUAUGAGUUGUUCCCCAAUCUAAACCUUGUAUUAGCCAAUUUCUUUUCUGUUUGAACUGAUUUUAGGUUUGAAUGAUUCAGUUUGUUGAGUCAGAUGUACAGCUGGAUACUGUAAAAAAAUUAAAAUAGGAGUCAGUGAUCAUAACAGCAUGGAAUUCCAACCUGUAUUAUUAACUAGUUAAGUCAGUUGUACUUUUACAGAUAGAAAUUUAAAAAAAUGUAAAGAGGAAAAGGGUAAAACCUCCUCUUAAAAGCUGUUGAAGAUUUCCUCUAGGCAUGAAAUCAUAAACAAGUGCAAGGCACUUCUUGUUUUGGCAAUACCCUACCAAAGCGACAAGAUUCUUGUGAUGAACUUUUGACAAGGUUUGUACCUGCAGCAGGAGAUACCAUUUCAAACAAUGUAGAGUUGAGGUCAGUUGCAUUUCUUUCUUAAAUACUCCCUCCAUUUCACAAUUUAAGUCAUUCUAGCAUUUCCCACAUUCAUAUUGAUAUUAAUGAAUCUAUACAUAUAUCUAUCUAGAUUCAUUAACAUCAAUAUGAAUGUGAGAAAUGCUAGAAUGACUUACAUUGUGAAACGGAGGAAGUACUAGCUAAAUGCCUGUGCGUUGCGACAUAUAAAAGAAAUUAUUUUAUAAUAUUUCCUAAAAUAAAUAAAAAUAUAUUUUCCUUAAAAUGUGUUAUACAUCUUUUUUCUAUAGGGAAUAUUCACCUUGAUUUGAUUUUAUAUGUCGGUACCCAUUAAGAUUUGGUUGUUUCUUAAUAUUAAGAAGUUCAAGGAGUAAUUUGCAAAAUUUACAAUGGGAGUUGGUGGGGUGGCAAAUUCAUGGCCACCACCACUACCUCAUUUUAAAUGAGUAUAGAUAUAGACUAUGGAAAUUGCUUUAGAUGUCCUUCAAUCUACUUCGGAUUGAACUAAACAGCGCUUUGUCCUAAUUAGUUCUGUUGCAUACCUCAGGGAGAAAGUCUUUUGACUCUGCUAUGGAUGUCUCCACAAGAACCUUAACAGCUACUUCAUCAUUAUUUUCCAGUAUGCCAUGAUAAACAGUACCAAAACCUCCUUUUCCAAUGAUUGAUUGGAAAUUGUUAGUUAUGAGCUUCAGCUCUGCAUAUGUGAACCUUCUGAUGUCGAUAUGUAGGGGAGUCUCCUCUUCAUACAUAUCAUAAUCUUCUUCUUCUGAUUUUCUUGACUUCCCUGCAAAUUCCAGAAGAUGCAUUUUUCAUGGAAGUAAAUGUUUGGAACUGUUGUCUAUUGUUUUACACUUAUUGCAUUGGUUAAACAGGACUUAACCAAAAAGCACUUUCUUUUACCUUUCCAGCAUAACCUCCAGAAUAUGAACAGCACCACUAGGAGAGAUGUCACAGGAACUAACACACUGAUGAGCAAAAUACGUGUGCGUGUGUUCUUCUUAUUUCCACAGUAGCUAGCUCUGACUUUGGAGCAUAUGGGAUUGCCUUCUAGUCUAGUGAUUCAUUUACACAGCAGAUAAACAUGAACUAAAUCAGCCAAAGAAACACAAAAGUAAAAACACAGAGAUAGGUUAGAAAUAUCUUUAAAAUUAUUGCAAUGGACACCUGCUUUUUUCUAACAUGACCAACCUCCUUAUAUUACAAUUGUAAUCUAAAAAACUAAAUGUUUCUAAAGCAUAUGCAGUUAUUAAUAUUUUCACAUCUGCCCCUCAAGUAGUUUCGGAUUCAGAAGGUUUGCUUUCUAUGUGCAGAUGUCGUAUUUCCAUGUGAUGGUUAACCUUUAGUUGAUUUUGCCUUUUGAGCAGUUUUUUUUUUAUCAUCUUUUCUUCUAUUGAUAAGGAGCCAUGUUCAAGGAGAAGCCAAACCUUAGCUCAAGCAAACCGGCUUUGUAUCUUUGAAGAAUAGAAUCAGGGAUGGAUCCAUUGAGCUGGUUAUUAGACAAGUCACUGAAAAAACAGCACUUCAAAUCAUUCAUUCAUUUAAAUUUUAUAUUAGGCACUAAAGAUCCCAUCAAUUGCUGUAGAGACUUACAUAACAGUGAGGGAAUUUACUUGAUAGUCUGGAAUGGUGCCUGUCAGGUUGUUGUGUGAUAAAUCCCUGCAUGUUUUUAGAUGUUUAGGAUUGCAUCGAUGUCCACCCAAUUUCAUUUAGUUUGUGAAUGGUAGAUAGCACUUACAAUUUCUUCAGUGAUGACAUUUUCAUGAAUGAUAUUUCUAACUCUCCUUGCAGACCGCUGCCAGAUAGAUUUCUGCAUAGCAACUCGUUUUAACAUAGUAAUAAUAUCCACCAUCAUUUUUUUUUUCAAAACCAAAAUGUUUUGUUCUUACAUUUCAACAAUCCUUGGGUUCUGGCCACCAUUAGGGUAGGUGCAAGUCAAACCAUUCCAGAUGUACUCUCUUGGUGAGCAUGGAUCCCCGUUCCAGUUUUUGAUUACCAUGUACUUCUCUUUGAUUGUUUUCAUGGAGUCAACUAAGCAAAUGGUACAAACAACACAGAAUAGGUGUCAAUAUAUGAUGCUUCAGUCAGCUUGGUCUCAGGAUAAUCUACAUUAGCAUUGAUGUGUUUACUGUAUGUUAUGCAACAGGUUCCUUACAAAUUGGAAUGAGUAAUAGUGAAGCCAAUUGACGUACCAUCACUUGAAGCAGUGGUGAAG